This 478-nucleotide ribosomal RNA is filed under the name uncultured bacterium. RNAcentral's name for it is "partial 16S ribosomal RNA". It matches the Rfam family "Bacterial small subunit ribosomal RNA", at positions 28 to 523 of the family's 1533-position model. The record is from RNAcentral.
GACGAACGCUGGCGGCGUGCUUAACACAUGCAAGUCGAACGGUAAGGCCCUUCGGGGUACACGAGUGGCGAACGGGUGAGUAACACGUGGGUGAUCUGCCCUGCACUUCGGGAUAAGCCUGGGAAACUGGGUCUAAUACCGGAUAGGACCACUGCCUGCAUGGGUGGUGGUGGAAAGCUUUUGCGGUGUGGGAUGGGCCCGCGGCCUAUCAGCCUGUUGGUGGGGUGAUGGCCUACCAUGGCGACGACGGGUAGCCGGCCUGAGAGGGUGACCGGCCACACUGGGACUGGGAGACGGCCCAGACUCCUACGGGAGGCAGCAGUGGGGAAUAUUGCACAAUGGGCGCAAGCCUGAUGCAGCGACGCCGCGUGAGGGAUGACGGCCUUCGGGUUGUAAACCUCUUUCAGCACCGACGAAGCGCAAGUGACGGUAGGUGCAGAAGAAGGACCGGCCAACUACGUGCCAGCCGCCGCAGUAA